AGGGACCACCUGUAUCCAAUCAGGAAUUUGCACAGGUGCUGCAUGGCUGUCGUCAGCUCGUGCCGUGAGGUGUUAGGUUAAGUCCUGCAACGAGCGCAACCCUCGUCGCUAGUUAAUUUCUCUAGCGAUACUGCCCGUAAAACGUGGAGGAAGGUGGGGAUGACGUCAAGUCAGCAUGGCCUUUAUGUCUUGGGCUACACACACGCUACAAUGGAUGGUACAAAGGGUUGCCAAAGAGCGAUCUGGAGCUAAUCCCAAAAAACCAUCCUCAGUUCAGAUUGCAGGCUGCAAUGCCUGCAUGAAGUUGGAGUUGCUAGUAACCGCAGGUCAGCACACUGCGGUGAAUACGUUCUCGGGCCUU
Molecule: ribosomal RNA, 361 nt
Filed under: uncultured Chloroflexota bacterium
Lineage: Bacteria; Bacillati; Chloroflexota
Description: bacterial SSU rRNA
Rfam family: Bacterial small subunit ribosomal RNA
Source: RNAcentral